CCCCGCGUAGCUCAACCUGGAAGCUGCCAAUUUUAAAAAAAUGGCUCGCUGGGUAAUGGAGCGCUCGGCUGUUGCCCGGGAGGUCGCUGGUUCAAAUCCGGCCGCGGGGA
Molecule: transfer RNA, 110 nt
Filed under: Candidatus Woesearchaeota archaeon
Lineage: Archaea; Nanobdellati; Candidatus Woesearchaeota
Description: tRNA-Asn
Rfam family: tRNA
About the family: Transfer RNA (tRNA) molecules are approximately 80 nucleotides in length. Their secondary structure includes four short double-helical elements and three loops (D, anti-codon, and T loops).
Source: RNAcentral